This 459-nucleotide ribosomal RNA is filed under the name uncultured bacterium. RNAcentral describes it as "partial 16S ribosomal RNA". It matches the Rfam family "Bacterial small subunit ribosomal RNA", at positions 338 to 795 of the family's 1533-position model. The record is from RNAcentral.
CCUACGGGAGGCAGCAGUGAGGAAUAUUGGUCAAUGGGCGCGAGCCUGAACCAGCCAAGUCGCGUGAGGGAAGACGGUCCUCUGGAUUGUAAACCUCUUUUGUCGGGGAGCAAAAGACGCCACGCGUGGCGUUCCGAGAGUACCCGAAGAAAAAGCAUCGGCUAACUCCGUGCCAGCAGCCGCGGUAAUACGGAGGAUGCGAGCGUUAUCCGGAUUUAUUGGGUUUAAAGGGUGCGCAGGCGGAAGAUGAAGUCAGCGGUAAAAUUGAGAGGCUCAACCUCUUCGAGCCGUUGAAACUGGUUGGCUUGAGGGAGUGAGAAGUAUGCGGAAUGCGUGGUGUAGCGGUGAAAUGCAUAGAUAUCACGCAGAACUCCGAUUGCGAAGGCAGCAUACCGGCGCUCAACUGACGCUCAUGCACGAAAGCGUGGGUAUCGAACAGGAUUAGAUACCCCAGUAGUC